Molecule: ribosomal RNA, 498 nt
Filed under: uncultured bacterium
Lineage: Bacteria
Description: partial 16S ribosomal RNA
Rfam family: Bacterial small subunit ribosomal RNA
Source: RNAcentral
ACUCAAAUGAAUUGACGGGGGCCCGCACAAGCGGAGGAGCAUGUGGUUUAAUUCGAUGGUACGCGAGGAACCUUACCUGGGCUAGAAUGCGAGUGACGUCCCGUGAAAGCGGGAUUCCCUUCGGGGCACAAAGCAAGGUGCUGCAUGGCUGUCGUCAGCUCGUGCCGUGAGGUGUUGGGUUAAGUCCCGCAACGAGCGCAACCCUUAUCAUUAGUUGCCAUCAGGUUAAGCUGGGCACUCUAGUGAAACUGCCUGCGUAAGCAGUGAGGAAGGUGGGGACGACGUCAAGUCAUCAUGGCCCUUACGCCCAGGGCUACACACGUGCUACAAUGGAUGGGACAGAGAGUUGCUACAUGGUAACAUGAUGCUAAUCUCAUAAACCCAUUCUCAGUUCGGAUCGAGGUCUGCAACUCGACCUCGUGAAGGUGGAUUCGCUAGUAAUCGCGUAUCAGCUAUGACGCGGUGAAUACGUUCCCGGGCCUUGUACACACCGCCCGU